ACCACUUCUCAGCCUUUUGGCUAAGAUCAAGUGUAGUGUCUGUUCUUACCGGUUUAAUAAUGGAUCAUUGCAGUGUUUCCUACUGAGUGCAAAGACAGUCUUGGGAUCUGUCUUAACACAG
Homo sapiens (human) is the source of this 121-nucleotide small nuclear RNA. The record is from Ensembl. NCBI's taxonomy places the organism in Eukaryota, Metazoa, Chordata, Mammalia, Primates, Hominidae.